UUUUCUUAGUAGCGGCGAGCGAAAAGAAAUCAGUUCAGCACUAAGUCACUUUGUCUUUAUGGCAAAUGUGAGAUGCAGUGUAUGGAACGUCUACAAUCUAGUAUGAGAAAUUAAUGAUUUAAGUCCUUCUUAAAUGAGGCCAAUUACCCAUAGAGGGUGCCAGGCCCGUAUAACGUUAAUGAUUACUAGAAGGCGAUUCCAAAGAGUCGUGUUGCUUGAUAGUGCAGCACUAAGUUGGUGGUAAACUCCAUCUAAAACUAAAUAUGACCAUGAGACCGAUAGUAAACAAGUACCGUGAGGGAAAGUUGAAAAGAACUCUGAAUAGAGAGUUAAAUAGUACGUGAAACUGCUUAGAGGUUAAGCCCGAUGAACCUGAAUAUCCGUUAUGGAAAAUUCAUCAUUAAAAUUGUAAUAUCUUUACUUUUUUUUUUUUUUAACAAAAAGAAAGAAAAUAUUAUAAUGAUAGUGUGCAUUUUUUCCAUAUAAGGACAUUGUAAUCUAUUAACAUAAUAAAAUAUUUAUCAAAAAGUCAUAAACAUAAAGUUUAUUUAAAUUAUUAUGCUUGCAUUUUAACAUAGAAUAAAUGUUAAUGAUUUGAUAAAGUGUUGAUAAAUUUAUCAUAUAUACAAUGCUUUAAUUUUUCGGAAUUAUAUAAUAGCAUAAUUAUCAUUGAUUUUUAUGUUUAUUAUAUGCAUUUGUAUGAUUAACAAUGCGAAAGAUUCAGGAUACCCUCGGGACCCGUCUUGAAACACGGACCAAGGAGUCUAACAUAUAUGCAAGUUAUUGGGAUUUUAUAAACCUAAUGGCAUAAUUAACUUAACUGUUAAAUAUAUGGGAUUAGUUUUUAAACUAUUUAUAGUUUAUUAACACAAUCCCGGGGCGUUCUAUAUAGUUAUGUAUAAUAAUAUUUAUAUUAUU
RNAcentral lists this ribosomal RNA (918 nucleotides) under Stegana sp. 1220 JL-2019. RNAcentral's name for it is "partial 28S ribosomal RNA". It matches the Rfam family "Eukaryotic large subunit ribosomal RNA", at positions 75 to 804 of the family's 3401-position model. The record is from RNAcentral. RNAcentral also lists the same sequence under 4 other names. Lineage: Eukaryota; Metazoa; Arthropoda; Insecta; Diptera; Drosophilidae.